This 246-nucleotide long non-coding RNA is filed under the name Ananas comosus (pineapple). Its description in RNAcentral is "long non-coding RNA (ACOM_LNC041072)". Lineage: Eukaryota; Viridiplantae; Streptophyta; Magnoliopsida; Poales; Bromeliaceae. The record is from RNAcentral.
AAUAAAAAUCUUACAAAAUAUGAUGAUAUGACAUUAAAAUUUUAGAUCAAAAAUAUUGAUCUUGUUUUAUAUAGUAUAAAAAAUUUUCUAUCAAAAUUUCACGUGAUUUGAAUAUUUCUAUACCGUUAAACUUGUAAACAGCUCACUACGGCUAUUAAAAUUAUUGAUUUUGAGCUCCUUCGAUCACUAGGCAAAUGAUAUCGAAAAAUCACAAAAUUUAUUUUCUAGGUACUUCAAAUACUCUAA